Molecule: ribosomal RNA, 492 nt
Filed under: uncultured bacterium
Lineage: Bacteria
Description: partial 16S ribosomal RNA
Rfam family: Bacterial small subunit ribosomal RNA
Source: RNAcentral
AGUGAACGCUGGCGGUAGGCCUAACACAUGCAAGUCGAACGGCAGCACAGUAAGAUCUUGCUCUUACGGGUGGCGAGUGGCGGACGGGUGAGGAAUACAUCGGCAUCUACUUUUUCGUGGGGGAUAACGUAGGGAAACUUACGCUAAUACCGCAUACGACCUACGGGUGAAAGCAGUGGAUCUUCGGACCUUUCGCGAUUGAAUGAGCCGAUGUCGGAUUAGCUAGUUGGCGUGGUAAAGGCCCACCAAGGCGACGAUCCGUAGCUGGUCUGAGAGGAUGAUCAGCCACACUGGAACUGAGACACGGUCCAGACUCCUACGGGAGGCAGCAGUGGGGAAUAUUGGACAAUGGGCGCAAGCCUGAUCCAGCCAUACCGCGUGGGUGAAGAAGGCCUUCGGGUUGUAAAGCCCUUUUGUUGGGAAAGAAAAGCAGCAGGUUAAUACCCCGCUGUUCUGACGGUACCCAAAGAAUAAGCACCGGCUAACUUCGUG